ACGUGUUUCAGGAUUAUUUCUUAAAAUGCUCUGUUUAGCUAAAAAAGAAUUUGUUCCAUACUUUACGGACACAGUGUAUAUUACUACAGUGGAGUGGGAUGGUCACUGAUGUCAAAAUGAGCAGUGACACCGCGCGAAAUACAAAUAACCGAAACCUAGUAUAUCACAAACAUAAAUUUCCUUUCUUCUCAUUUUCUUAAUUCAUUGAGGUCAGCAAACAAGUGGUAGUCGCUGGGAGCCAUAUCUGGUGAAUCCGGUGGCUGCGGAAGCAAUUCGAACCCCAAUUGUGAAAUUUUGUCAUCGUUUUCAUUGAUUUGUGACACGGUGCAUUGUGUUGAUGAAAUAGAACUUUCCUCUUCUUCAAAUGUGGCCGUUUUUCCCGAUUUUGUCCUUUAUACGCAGGAGAACGAAAUGUAACAGUCGUGGUUAAUUGUUUUUUCCAUUUCGAGAUAGUCGAUGAAUAUUAUAUCAUGCUCUUCCCAAAAUACUGAUGCCACAACCUUGCCAGUCGACUGUUGCCUCUUUCACGCUUUGAAGUCGGUUCAUCACGUGCAGUCCAGUCGGCUGACUGUUGAUUGGAGUCCGGUGUGAACGUGUGAAAGUGUGAAAUGAUGGAGCUAUAUUUCAUCCAUUAUAAUAUAUCGACACAAGAAUAUUCGGUUUUAUUGCAAUUGAACAGCUUCUACUCAGAAUCAUCAAUUCGUUGUUGUUUUUGAUCGAUUGUGAGCUCUCGCGGCUUUCACUUUGCACAAAGCUUUCGCAUACCCAAAUAUGCAUGCACAAUAUAUCUAACACGUUCUUUUGAUACCUUUAGAGUUUCAGCUAUCUCGAACAACUUCACUUUAUGGUCAUGCAAAAUUAUUUUGUGGACUUUUUUAUGUUUUCGUCGGUAACAGCCUCUUUGGGGCACUGCGUGCAUCAUCCUCGGUGCUCAUUUCGCCUCGUUUAAACUUAACAAACUCCUCACCGGUUGAUUUUCCUGGUACAGCGUCCGAAUAAUGUUUAUCAAGCCAAACCUUGGCUUUUUUGCCAAAAAGCAAUGCUUUAUACACGAAAUUCCUUUUUGUCCAUUUUUUUAACUAACGUAAGUAGCUUGAACUUUACUAAAAAUCCCAAGUAGCACCGAACGGGUUUAUUAAGUCUUUUAAGGAUGCUUUAAAACUGUAGAAUAAAACUAAAAUUAAAACCAUUUGGUUUUUAAGUAAACCUUAAGGUUGCAAUAAAACCGCUUUCAGCAUAAAAGGGCCCACUCUGAAAGAGGUCAAUAAAACCAAAAAUAAAAACCUUAAAACUUUGUUAUCUUAAGCAACUGGUUUUAAAGCUGCUGUGAAGGUGCUUUAAAACCAUGUUAAAAGACACUUUAAGUGCAGGUAGUUUUAUAGCAAACUUAAAAAGGUUUUUUAAUGGAGGCUUUUAAAGACAAUUUACCUUAUUAAAUGAUUCUUUAAACCCAUAUACUUCCAUAUAGGCCAACAAUUUUUUACAUGUGUUAUGAUAGGUAGAUACGUAUUUGUAACCAUAAAAUAAUAAAAAGUACUUGGUUAUUUCGGACUGUCAAGAUAGAAAAACACUUGCGCACCCAACUUUAUUGAUAAUGUUAACAAAAAUAGGUCUAAAUAAUUCACGCGCCCUAAAAUUUCUGACGUUUGGCGAUUAAAAAAUAAAAAUAAAAAAAAAAUAAAUCCGAAAGAUAUUAAUUUGAAUGAAAAAUAAUUUUAUCUACAAUUUUAAUGUUUUAAUGUUAAAAUAAAUCGAAUUUAUGUCUUUAAGUCGCUUAUUUAUAAUUUUUAUAUAAGCCUUAUAUUGUAAUCUGUAAUGGCUUUCAGCAUCUCCAGAAAGUAAUAUGGCCUAAAUCCAAAUAAAACUAUUUAGUCUAUCGACAGAGAAUUGUUAAGAUCAAAUGGUUUUAUUUUAUACUUUUCCAAGAGCAUAUAUCCUACAUAAAAGCAAGGUUGCCUUGGAAUUAAAACCGUUUAGUUUUAAUGCUGCUGUCAAUAAUGCCACUCGGUUUUAAUGUGAAUCUAACCUAAAAUCGAGGCGUCGUAGUGCUGUGUGUGUGUUGUAUGUUUCUUUUAAAAUGACCAGUUCGUUUAUAUUGUAAGUACUUGCGACUUAUUUCUUCCAUACUGUACUUCCACUUUUUACAACACACUACACCACUGUUUCGCUCUAAAACAAAUGGCCGACUAUGUUGGACAUAAAAGACGAGGGGAUGAGUUUAGUUUUAUUGUUUCUAACAAGAAGCAUAGUUUAGUCUUUACGAUAACCAAAUUGAUUCUGUCAAGAGCGUUUGGUUUUAAUAUAGCCUACUAAUUGCUUUUAAGAAAGCAACUUUAAAGAAAACUAAAAAAAUAGUUUUAAGGCAUAUGUUUUACUGACAUAAUAGUCUUGAGAUCAAGUAGUUUUAAUAAUAGGUUUUAUAAGUCAUAUUAGGAGAAUCUUUAAAACUGCAAUAAAACUAAAAGGUCACAAACUAGAAUCUAAUAAAACCAAACAGUCCGGAAGUUCAUUAUAAAACUUAUUAGUUUUAAAGUGUACUGAGAAUAUACCAUUUUAAAACUACAAUAAGACAAAUUAUCUAUUAAGAUUAAUUAGUCUUAUUUGAUACUCUUAUUAGAUACAUUAAAACUAGUGACAAAUGCUUAACAGUUUUAAAGUUUUGGCAUUAUAUCUACAAGGUAACUUUAAAACCAUGAUCUUCUUAUUUACCACAAUAAAACCUUUAUAAACCUUAAAUAAAACACAUGUUUUUAUUGUGCUACUUGGGAUGCUAUAUCUCACAAACUAAUAAUUCCAAAAAUAGCGACAACUCUACCUUAUCGGUAAUUCGCUCCGAGCGUUAACAAAGUGUCAAAGCAAAAUCGACCGACCUGCUCAUGAUGGCGAUUUUUUAAAAGUUUGUAAGGACGCUUUGGGUAUGUUUAAAAGGGAUAUUUAAAAAAAUGCCGUGUCACGCUAGUGAUAUUAUGUAUAAACAGAAAAUAAAAACGCACUUAAUCUGAUAUAAAUUCUUCACUUUCCAAUAUUGAUUAUCACUUUGAUUGUGUAUCCAUAACCUCACUAUCGCAGUUUAUGUCAAUAAAUCUUUAUUAACGAAAAACAAAAUAUUUUUGUUGUACUAUAAAUUACAUUAUAAAUUAAUAACUAAUGAAUUCUAACAAUUGUAUUCGGUUAUUAUCACCACAAAAUAAAAUAUUCAAGUUUAACAAAAUAAUCCCAUUAGACUCAAUGUUAAAACGUCCUUACAAAAUCUGACAGCGCGACACGUGACUGUAAAUAGAGGGGAGACGCUCGGUGCGAAUAGUCUACGAGAUGUGCACGGUAAAUUGAAGAUGGAAUUACAAAAAAAUAUGUAUGUCUUUGUACUCACUUUAUAAUGCUCAAAAAAUUACGGGAUCUGGAUUUCAAUGCAUAUUUUUUAUAAUUCUCGUAUCAAAGUUGCGCGUGAAGUUAGGGCUGACUAAACAUUAUAUGGAUUUAAUACCAGUAGUGCCAUCUAUGUGUCAGCCUACGAACUUUUCAUCCCACCUGUUAUAUAAUUAGUAGAUAUGAUCGAGUUCAAAAUCAAUUUUAUUGUAAUCAGUUGUAUUGAAGAGUGGAAAAGGUAUUUCUAUUUAUCGCGAUUUAAAGUUCAUUGCUUAUCAUCAGGUUUGCGCAGGCAUCCAUAAACUCAAAUCUAGGCUGGUAGCCCAUUUCACAACAUCAGUCCCGGAUGCUCAUUGGCGCUAAUUGCUAAUUAUUUCGCUCGAAAUACUGAUCUUCGUCGUAGUUCAGGCAAAACGCAUUAAUCUCUGUCACCUGGUCAUAAGACCUUUGUACCAUAUCUUGUUUUUUUCCAUUAAACUCAAGUUAUGUGAUCUCAACUAUAGUCAACGGUUUCCUUAUUGGUAGUUUCCUUAUAUAGGUAGUUCAAUCCUCAGUUGACCAGUAAAUUCCUGCCUUACAUCACUGCGCAUUGAAAUGGCAUAGGGCGUGUAUGGAUGUCGCUUCUUCCAUUUCGAAUUUUCUGAACCGUGGUUCAUUCACCUUAUCUAAUUGGUAUGGGUGCUUUCUUAAGUGGCAAUGUGGAGUUACCGUUUUAAUCUCUCGUUUAUUGAGGUUCAUCAAAUUGUCAAAGAGUUUUUUAUCAAUAUUCUUGAUUAUUUUCUUAGUCUGGAUUUGCCCUUGAGUGGUGCAUAUCCUUUUCGUUUGAUGAGUUCUUAUCAGCCACUUUUGAACCUCUUUUUUUAGUAGCAUUUUUACAAAGGUUUCUCUCGAGCUUUGUUUUGCAAUAAAGGACCCCGCAACACUCCUUAUGGAAAAUUGGUCCCGGUCAAAAUUGGUCCCGGUUAAAUUUAACGAAACUUUGGUCAAUGAUAGUCCUCAGUGAGUAUAUUUAAUAAGUCCAUGGCACCUAGGUCUGAAAAACUAUUAUUCUCGAGCUACAGCCUUCCGAAGUUCUUAAAUUCAGGUACUCGGUUUACGUUAAGUGCACUAAUUCACGGUCAAGUGAAUGAAAAUAUCUAUUACUGAAAGACGACAGAUUAAUUUUCUUCAUGCAUAUUUGCGUGUUGCAUAUGAAUUCGUGGUCAAACAUAGAUGUCCUCAGAAAACUGAAGAAGUGCGAUAGAAAAUGUGCUGCCAGAGUGACAUAACAAUUAUCAUGCUUUCAUGAAUGCUUCUCACUUAUCCAAUACCAGCGUAGCUGCAGUUACACCUUAUCUUUAGAAAACUACUGAACAGUGGCGGAUUUAGGGGGGAAUAAUGGAAUUCCUACCAUAACCAGAAUUAAAGAAAAAAUUGUUGAAGCAUGAUUAUUACACGUUGAAAUACGUUAGCUUACAUGCAGCUUACUACAAACGGAAAAAUUCACCUAAAAUAACUCGACAGUUAGGAAAAUAAAGGGAACUUAUUGCACAUGUUAAUACCUAUGUCUUUUAUGUAGUUUGGGUUUAUCUAUUUUAUAUAUUUUGGGGUUGGUGUUUUAUUGGAAGUCGCUCCCCUCCCCCAAGGCAGAUGUUCCGCCACUGCUACUGAAAUAUCCUGAUAGGUCGUUAGUAAACACGACAUAUGAUGCAUCUAACCAAAGUCAACACAAUCUUAUAAAUAUAAACUCGAUUUUUCCAGAGAAGAUUGUAAUUAAUAUUUAGCGUUCACCUACUACAAUGUAUGUAUGUACUGUGUUUUUUCUUUUCAUAUUGAGACUCCAGUAUAAAGUAUAAAGUUUCUCCUACUAAAGUCUUUAUACUCCGUAUAAAGUCCAUAUUCUCCACUCAUAUCUGAUAUGCUGGAGAUUAUUCUUUGCAAAUCAUCUAAGCUAAGCUAGUUGCAAAAACUACUGCUUCGUCGGCGCAUAUCUAAUGAUUUUUAGAGGCACUCUAUUCUGCAUGUGUGAAACCGUAAGGUGUCUUGUUCUGCUCUAGCAGCACUUAUUGUGGUUGUUCUUCAAUUUUCUGAUGGCGCUUCAGUAGCAGUGGCGGAAACCCAAACUACAAGACGUAAAAAAUAGCAUGUGCAAUAAGUUCCCUUAAUUUUCGUGACUGUCGAGUUAGUUGGGUUGAAUUUGUAUGUCUGUAGUAAGUUGCAUGUAAGCUAAAGUAGUUCAACGUAUAAUAAUCAUGUUUCAACAAUUUUUUCUUUAAUUCUGGACCGUGUUCCCCUAUCCUCCCCCUAAAUCCGCCACUGUCCAGUAGUUUUCUAAAGAUAAGGUGUAACUGCAGCUAUGCUGGUAUUGGAUAAGUGUGAAGCAUUCAUGAAAAUAUGAUAAUUGUUAUGUCACUUUAGUAGCACAUUUUCUAUCGCACUUCUUCAGUUUUCUGAGGACUUUUCGGAGGUUUUCUGAAGACUAAAAUACGAUGUAUCUAUUUUUGACCACGAAUUCAUAAGCAACACGCAAAUAUGCAUGAAGAAAAUGAGUCUGUCUUCUUUCAGUAAUAGACAUUUUCAUUCACUUGACCGUGAACUUAACGUAAAACGAGUACCUGAAUUUAAGAACUUCAGAAGGCUGUAGCUCGAGAAUAAUAGUUUUUGAGACCUAGGUGCCUUGGACUUUUUUAAUCUACUCACUGAGGACUAUAAUUGACCAAAGUUUCGUUAAAUUUGACCGGGACCACUUUUCCAUAAGGAGUGUUGCGGGGUCCUUUGCUCGUUCAUUCUCAUUAGCCCUUUCAUGACCCGUUACCCAUAUUAAAGAUAAUUUAUUAUCUUUUGCCAGAUUGUUGAGUAGAUCUUUGCAGUUCCUGGCCAGUUUUGAUUUGGUGAAUAUAUUCUUUUCUGCCGGAAUAGCCGCGUGGUUAUCUGUAUAAAUGUUGAUUAACUUUGCUGUAGGGUCUCCAUCCAUGAUUUCAUGAAUGAAGGCCACUAGAGCAAAACCUUAAGCUUGGAACACAGUUAUAUAUUGACCUAGACUGUCUUAUUAUAAUUACAUGUUUGCCCAAAUACUCAUGAUUUUAUCAUGGGCAGUUUUAAAUCCAUCAGUGAAUUAUAUUAACCCAUUCGCUGCCGAUCGCGCACCAGCGCGUGAUAUGGUUAUUCAGUCAGGUGCCGAUCACGCGCCAGCGAGUGAUAUGGUUACUUAAGUCAGGUGCCGUUUAACAGAAUGGCUCCUAGCCGAGUUCCAUCCUAUUCGAUACAUAUAGUCUAGGCGCCAAAUAGAGGUCACCGUGUCCUUUUCAAUUCUGAUGGACAAACUUAACGGUUUCUUAUGGAUUUUUGGCCGCUGAUUACGAAUUUCGAGGGUGGAUUUCGAUCCGAGUGGUCAAAAAAUUGUGAUUAUAAAGCUCUGGCUCAUAAACUGAAAGAGAUAAAAAAAUGUUUCAAAUAAAAUUUGUUCCUUAAAAAAACGAAGAAAAAAACGUUUACUAAACUUAAAUCCAACAAUUAGAACUCAAGAUAUUGUAAAAUUAGUGCAUAAUGCAAAUUGCAAAAUAAAAUAAGUAUUUUUCGAAACUUUAUCGAUCGUAACUCGGUUUCUACGCAUGCAAAUGAGCCUUAGAAGGUCUCAUUUUAAAGCGGAAUUAAUAGGCUUCCAAACAAAGUUUGUUAAAUUACUUUAUCUUCAUUUGUUUUAAAGUCAUACCCGUUUGAAGUUAUAAUUUAUUGUACAUUAAUUUGUUUAUAAGGGUUUCAAUCAAAUUUGAGCUAUAAACAUUUACACUUUAAUUAACAAUAAUGAUAGAAGUACACAAAAGGAACAUUUUAAGCUUACAAAAAUGUUCGUAAGUUUAUUUUUGGCCAAGAUAUCGAUAUUUUGGCUACAAAUUUCGUCACUUACUUGACUGUGAGCCGAUCUUGCGCCUCAUAGCGCGCCAUUAAAAUAUCGAUAUCUUGGCCAAAAAUAAACUUACGAACAUUUUCAUAAGCUCAAAUUGUUCCUUUUGGGUUCUUCUAUCAUUAUUGUUAAUUAAAGUAUAAAUGUUUAUAGCUCAGAUUUGCUUGAAAACAUUAUAAACAAAUUAAUGUACAAUUUUUUUAACAAAAUUAUAACUUCAAACGGGUAUAACUUUAAAACAGAUGAAGAUAAAGUUAUUUUAGCAAACUUUGUUUGGAAGCCUAUUAAUUAAGCUUUAAAAUGACAUCUUCUAAGACUCAUUUGCAUACGUAAAAGCCGAGUUACGAUCGAUAAAGCUUCGAAAAAUACUUAUUUUGCAAUUUGCAUUGUGCACUAAUUUUACAAUAUCGUGAGUUCUGGAUUUAAAUAUAGUAAACGUUUUUUUCUUCGUUUUUUAUUAAGGAACAAAUUUUAUUUGAAGCAUUUUUUUAUCUCUUUUAGUUUAUGAUCAAUUAAAUUGUUUAUAACAAUUUUUUGACCACUCGGAUCGAAAUCAACCCUCGAAAUUCGUAAUUAGCAGCCAAAAAUCCAUAAGAAACCGUUGAGUUUGUCCAUCAGAAUUGAAUAUGACACGGUGACCCCUCUGGCGCCUAGACUAAUAGGCAGCGAAUGGGUUAAGUCUCAAUUAAUAUUUGGGACUUUUUGUUCUCUAAUAUACAUUUUUCUUUUUGUUACAUUAGUACUUUAAAAAUAUAUUGCUUUGAAGAACGUGUUUGAUAUUUUCUCAGGGCGUUGUCAUAUCUACUAAUUUACAAAAAAUGCAAUACUUUCGCGACAUUAUGUUUUUGUAUGAUGCAUUGCAUGUUAAAUAUUAAAUAAGUUGGAUAUGUCUGGAAGUUUUAAAGCAUUUGAAAACUGUACCUACAUCUAAUGUCGAGCAAUAUGUAUAUAUUUUUAUUUAACGACCUAUUCUAAGUAUUUAUUUGCUUACAUUAAUAAAAGUUUUUUUAACGUA
Long non-coding RNA from Diabrotica virgifera virgifera (western corn rootworm), 8264 nucleotides. RefSeq lists it as uncharacterized. The transcript is spliced from 2 exons. NCBI's taxonomy places the organism in Eukaryota, Metazoa, Arthropoda, Insecta, Coleoptera, Chrysomelidae. The record is from RefSeq and is a predicted model, not a curated record.